This is a long non-coding RNA of Pavo cristatus (Indian peafowl), 3432 nucleotides long. The record is from Ensembl. Lineage: Eukaryota; Metazoa; Chordata; Aves; Galliformes; Phasianidae.
CUAGUUGUUACCAUUUGGGCAUGAAAAAAUGUUAGCAGUGAGUUAAACUACAGAUCUCUGCUGCACAGCAGAGAGCCUGUACAGCCAAGUCAAAAAGGCAAUAAAUCCAGAUCAAACUUCUUAUUCCCGCAGCUUUGUAUUUCAUGUGCCUCCUGGAGGCUGGAAGUAUUGUGAGCUGCAGGCUUGCUUCCAGCAUUACCAGCACACUGGCUCACACAUUGUUACGCCAGAAGGACCUGAAGAGGUACAAUAGGAGAGCUUCAAUUGAAAUUCUUCUGGAUACUGCUUCAACUCAGUUUUAUCGCUUUGUCAGUCAGAGGUCACACAUCUUUCUAAAUGGUCAUCAAUGAGGCUUCUGGAUCUGUGCAAGGAGUGCAGCUCCUGCCAGAUCCUUGGUCAUGAAGACAGCUCUGAAAAGCAGCAUUUCCAAGAGGUGUCUUCACCCUGCCUCCAUCCAGAGAAAGUAAACAUCUAUUGAAUUAAUUUCUAAUCACUCUUUUCACUACUUUUAAAUGUGAAUAUAUUAUCCCAGUGGCAAGAUAUGCAGCACACCGGUAUUCUUAACUCCCAGGAAAUAAGCUUCUCUCUUCCAUGUAUUUUCUUUCAAUAAGACACACAUGGGCUUACAAGAUAUAGUGUAUUCAUGGCUGUUUAAGCACACUAGAUUUAUAUCCUUGGUUUCAGUUAUUUAAAAUUAGAAAAAAAAAAUCCUAGUAGCUCCACCUAUUUUAACUACUGCUUUAUUUGUAGCUACUGGAGCAUUCACAGCUGGAGAAAAAGAUGGAUGGCUCUUUAAAAAAAAAACACCUAGGAGGGCAGUUCUUAGAGAAGAAAUACAGAUCUUUUAGAUCUUCUCUUUCAAGAAAUGGUUAAUGUUUCUCUGCACAGGAGAUUUCCUUGGUGCUUGUUGAUAACAUCUGUGAUGGCACUAUUACUGGCAAACCUGAUGAUUUACUGGGAAGAGUAAGAACAGAGCAUUGGCCUCAGAAAUGUCAUUUGAAGGCCUCUUAAUUGAUUCUUACAAUGAUCCUGCAGAACUAUUUGUCCACUACUCAAAUUUGCUAUUUUUCAUUCCUUGUAGAUGGUUACAGUUGCAUAUAAGCUUAAAAUUAAUUCAUGCUGUAGGUAAGUAUGAAAGAAUAGUGUAAUAUAAGCAGUCUAAUGUCUGAAGCACAGUGACCAAUCUUUCCAAAAAAAAAAAAGAAAACCAGUUGGUGUUUGUCAUGGUGUCUUGUUACACCAAUCUAGUUGAGCCACCGUCUAGUGGCUCAAUACUCAUGUACUGAAGUUAAGAAUUUAAACCCCAGGGCUCAAGUACAUCACUUCCUGAUGCAACUAAUUGCUUUGGAGUAUCAGUGUUUUUCCUUAGGUAGGCUGUCUUGCUACAAACUACAAUAGACUUGUCACUUUUCUUACUGUAUCACAACAUUCAAAAGGGAACAGCAGCAUGGAGUGUGAGCCUCCAUGCAUUUUCAAGAAAAGAAACUGUCAUGAUCACAUCUACUGUCCAGCUGCAAAGGUGGGGGAAAUCUUCACUGUAUUUAAUUCCCUUCUCUUAUAGCUGUGUUAAAUAACUUGUAAAUGUUCCCAUCCCAAGGACAUAGCAUGUUGUUUUUAGUGGUGGGGAACACAUAAACACAAAUCUUCUUCCUCUCUGAUAUUGCCAAGAUUUUAAACAUGUUGAGAACUCAGUCCAUCUUUUCUUCAUCAUUUUCACUUUUCUGGCUUUCACCAUCUUUGAAGUACCCAGGGCUUGCAUGAUGUUUUGAAUUGAAGCUGUAUUAGCAUUGUAUGGAGAUGAGUAGCCCUGGCUAAUACAGUUUCUGUGUAGCUUGAAUGUUUUCUUGUAUUUUUUGUUGUUGGAAACAAAAUCAUGGCAUGCUGUAUAUACCUAAGCUUAAAUAUGAAUGAGGAUAUCCAGACUUCUUGAAGUGACAUUUCUCCUUAUUCCUAAAACAAACCUCUAGCAUGUUCUCUCAAAGCUGAUAUUAUGGAGAAAUGAUGUGGCAGUGAGAAAUUACCAUGUCUUCUCCAUUUUCUUCAUCUCUAUACUUUAUAAAACCUUCAGACUGUCCAGUUUCUGAUCCAGUAUGAAAAUUCUUCUAUACCAUAUCUAAAGUAAGGAAUAUGUAGAGAGAAAGUAGGAAUGUAUACAUGUGUAUCUGACAUUUCAAAUGUCAGCAAGAGUGAUUUCAACCAGAUUUUACUCUAGAAGAAUUGCUUACAAUGAAGUUAAAGUUACAACUGUGUAAGAAACAUUUUGCUAGUAAUUAGUCCAGUUGGUGUAUGUGUGGCUUUAGGUUCAAUAAUAUUUUUUCUGUAUUUAGUUUGUAUGUGUGUACACUUUCCUUUUAUUGUAUCAUUGCUGCCUUUUAUGUCUAGCAGUGUAGAACUUCUGUGAAAGUACUAGACAUGAAAAUUGUAUGGGACAUUCCUUAUUCUGAUGCAGUAAAUCUCCAAGACUUUAAGCAGCAAACAUCUUUAUAUAGCAAACAUGAUGCUAGUGCAUGAAAUUGCAAUUAGGCUACAUAAUGUUAUAUAGCAUCCUGGGCACAUGUGGAAAAAUUGGAAGAGCUGUAAUCAGUCAUUAAUAUCUGGCUAACUUUAUUUUGUUGAACACUAGAGGGAGAUCAAAGCAAAAGAAUAAAUGACUAAUAGACUGUGGUUACUAAUUCAGUUUGUUCAUAAAACUUCAACUGAUGAGAUGAAACAGCAGGUAUUUCUUAUCCUAAUUUUUCACCAUUGUUUUCUCAUGCCUUUGUUUGAUAUUGUUUUACCUGAAAUGUGAUUUUAAAGAAUAAUGAAAACCUGAGAAGGGAAAGGAUCAAUAUUUAUACUAUUGUAAUAUUUAUACUUAUAAGUAUAUUAUAUCAAUAUAAUAUUCAUUGAAAUAUUGAUAUAUCAAUGAAUUCUGUGUAAAAUUAUUUUUUCAUAUGAGACAUUUACUUUGAUGAGAAGAUUGAUAUUUCAGCAGCUGAAGAAUGAAACAAUAAACACACAGUUCAUUUGUCUUACAGUUUUCCUAAAUACUCAGGACUUUAUUUUGGUACACGUCUGCAGGAGUAAAUAGAGGAAACUCAUUUAUCUGCAGGACUUUCAUCGGGGUGUAAGCAACUGAGACUGAACAUGGGCAGAGUAGGAUACAACUCUUUCACAGUCAUAACUGCUGUUUUAUUCAGUGUUUGCUGAAGAGUUAGUAACAUAAAAUAUGCCCCUUAAGAUGUGGAUUUUUAAUUUGUGUAAAAUAAAGUUAUCAAAUGCAUGCUUUCUUAUCCUCUCAGUUACUGAUGGGAAAUACCAAGGCUUUCCAUGGAAUUCCCAAAGGAAGGGCCCUUAGGGCAUUUAAUAGUUUCCUGAGAGGAAGGCUCUGGCUUAUCAGGCUCUAGCAGAGAAGGAACACUGGCAUCCAAGCUUCAAAACUAAGGAAUUAUU